RNAcentral lists this long non-coding RNA (40130 nucleotides) under Sorghum bicolor (sorghum). RNAcentral's name for it is "long non-coding RNA (SBIC_LNC017153)". Lineage: Eukaryota; Viridiplantae; Streptophyta; Magnoliopsida; Poales; Poaceae. The record is from RNAcentral.
AUGUUACAACUUAAAAGCACCGAACGCCUUGCCAAGAGGUAAACUUCGUAGUUAUCCUUUUCCCUUCAAUUAUUUUGUUUAGUUAAUCAGGUUCAUAUCAUCUCGAAAUAAAAUAAAAAUGUUAAAAAUAGUAAGCCCCAUGUGAGUAUGCUCAUGGCAUAAAACCCAUAGGUACAUUCACUGUGGUGGCAUAAAAUAAAUAUGUUUACAUCUUACAAUAAAAAUAUAAAAAUAAUAAGUGCAUGAUCCUACUAAAUAAAUAACAUUUAUUGAGGAGGCUCAACAUGAUAAAGGCUAGAUAUUUAUGCUAACACUUAACCAGUUCCACAAAGCUUUGUUGUCUAUUUGAGCUCCAUAGAAUUCAAGGAUCAAAGAAGACUAGCAGACGGAGGACAUCCUAAUCGCUGUCAGGGUGCUGCCGACAUUCAAAUACACCUCCGCCACCUACUAGCUACAUCAGAAGAAAUUAUGUCAAAAUCCAGCUUGGGGGAGAGCACCCCCAUUUAUCCAGCUAAGUGUUUCUACUCACGUUUAUACUUUACUCAAAUAAUAAAAAGAUGCAUAAUCAUAAAAAACCCAAAUAAAGAUUUUGUGCUUUUAUAUAUAUCUUUGCUUAGUUUGCUAAAUAAAUAAAUAAAUAAAGUUUGCUAUGAACCCUCAUGAUAAGCUCUCACAUGGAAAUAAUGAAUAGUUGCUCUGCCAUGACUAGUUCUUAAAAUUGAAAUCUCUCUCAAGUUUAGGCAUAACUGUUAUAAUUUAAACCUGCUCUAAACCUGAACUUGUGGGAAGAGUACUUGAUCUAAAGUCUAAGUCGUUAACGGAUAUGAUAUGGGAGGGUUGAGCUGCUGUUUAUCUGUUCCUAGAGAUGAUAGAAUUCUGGAGAAUUUUAUCUUUGAAAAUCUUUAAAAUAACACAUGAUGAGUUCCUGUAUGAUGAAGAGUUUAAAAUCCUACCACAGCCAUAUAUACAUGCUUAUUAGACUUUGAGCCACACAUUUACUUUUUACUGUUUAUGGGCAUUGAGUGUGGUCAAGCUGUGUAGACCCUUAGGAGCUUGUCAUGCGGUUAAAAUCAAGAUUCACUUGCACGUUCACUCAUAUAUGCUGCUUCUACUCCGGAAGUACGCAUCCACAUAUAUCCACUCACUUCCAUCUCCAGAGCCACCCAAAAGUAUUCUAGUCCUAAUCCGGGAGAGAAUAGCCAAAAAGAUUAUCCUAUCCCGGUUAUUCCCUAUGAAAUAAAUGCUCGAGUUAUCUUGGUUACUACCACUUGCUAUAUUAUUUCAGGAGAUGAGUGCUCUAAAAAAAGAAAAAAAAGAAGAAAAAGAGGAAAAAUAUGAGGAAAUAAAAAGGGACAAGUGCCCGGAACCUCGAAGAAAAGAAAAAGUGAGACGAGAGGUAAAAAUGGACAAGUGUCCGACAGUAGAAUUAGGGGUACAAGAUACCCACCUGAGAGGAAAGAAAAAGAAAAUAUAGAGCAUCUCAUUCUCCCCAAAAAGUUACAAAGUGCAAGAAAGGUAUGUAUCCCCUCAAAAGAGCAAAAGUAGAAUUAGACUUUCACCAUUAUUAUCACCAUCAUGACCAUACACCAUUCAUUCGCCACACAUGCACAUCUUGAUUUGACUUAUUGACUUGUUUCUCGGGAUCCAUGGUUUGACUAUGCAAUAAAUGUCUUGUAAGUAUGUAUUAGCUGUCUCCCACCUAUGAGCUCCAGAUAUCAAAACCUUAUUAGAGUAGGGUGAGAGAGAAGGCAAUAUCACUAUGCAUUAUACCAAAAAUACCACAUACUUUGAGAGAAGGCAUAUACCAUUAUUGCCUUGGUAAGGAUCCAGAAAUACCACAAAAGAGAGAUUUGAGAGAAUCAUAUAAGGAAUCUCUGAUUUUUAUUUGAAAAUCUGCAAAAACUCCAGAGCUAUAGCUGAUCAAAGAAUAAGAGACAUGGCGCUUGACUUGACGUUCUAUCUUUUAACUGCUAAAGACACAAGUGACGGUUACAAGCCCCAUGGUGAAAGGUAAAAUGAGUAAGUUUUAAGUCUUAACAGUUUAUUCUAACUCAGAGAUGAGAUCUUGCUUGAAUGCGUGUGUACUUUUAAGGCAUGAAACCACUGCAGAAACUCUUGAGUUCAUCCUUGCUCAGGGAUGAGCAAGAGGUAAGCUUGGGGGAGUUGUUGACGGUCCUUAAGUACCAAAUAUAAUCAUCAAAUAAAUAAAGAAAAGGACCAAUCUACAACCAACACCUAGAAUUAGGGUUUGAUGUUUAUCUAUUUCUGCAGGGGGUUAUCAGGAAAUAAGAAAUAAAGGCCCACAUGUCGGGAUUACAUAGAGAUAUCAACGCACCGCGCAAUUUUCUACCAUCUAGAAGACUCCAGAAGCCACGGGAAGAAAGCAGAGGCCGAAAGGGGCCAGGCCUAGGGCGCCCGCCCUGAGGACCUGGGCGCCCGCCCACCUCUGGUCUCCGUUCGGGACUCUUUUCGCACAUGACAUUCCACCGACCUAAAGGAUCAAGGAUAACGUAGUACCACAUCGCCUGCUGGACCAAAAAUGCACAGAGGAGGACUUAUAAGCAGACCCCCUGGCCCCUAGAGGAGACAAGUUUUUCAUAGAGUUGAGGGGAGCCCUCAAAGGAAAACCUCUUCUCUAAAUAAAAUUUAUUUUAGGCUUAGCAUCCAAUGUGAGUAGAAUUAGAUCUUCUAGUUUCUACUAGAUUGAGAGAGAUAGAGUGGAGGUGUAGAUCGGAGGAAGGCCGGCCUGUCGGUGUCUACUCCGAGGUUGUACCUGUGGGAUCAAGUCUCCUAACUCGAGGCUUGCUUCUAAGAUUCUUCAGUAAUUCGACUUCUAAUUCUAGUAAGUUCUUGUUUUAUUGUUCUUUAGUUUAUGAGUUUACUUUAAUCCUCUUCCGGUUGAGUGUUAGAGUAAUCAUUGCUAGUGUAAACGUGGUGUUUAGGCUAGGGUACUCAUAGAUAUCCCCUGACUAGCUGGACCGUGGUAGUAGCGAGGAACGUGACAUUUCCGAGUUACCUUUGUAUCCCAUAUCUUGUUAGCAGGACGGGUAGGGUUUAUAGGUGCGGGUCGAACAUCCUUUGUGGUGUCUAGAUUCCGUAAGCUUCCCCAAUAGAACAGUAGAUCAUCCUUACCAAGGUUAGAACGAGACAACGGUUGCAGUCUUCUCUAUACAUCAGUCACAUCGAGAAACAUUCUUUGUAGCCUAAAGGGAUAGUAGCAAUAGAUUUGGUUAGUCAGAUGCACCCUUUCUCCCAAUGGUAAAAAUAUAAAUACGAUAACUCUAGAUAACAUCCUGGGUGAAAUGCUCACCGAUAUCCGUGCGCUUGCGGAUCAUUUUCUUACUGCGUUACCAAAUAUCAACACUUUCCUCAAGAAGUUCUUCCCAGCGGGCAAGACCAGUGCCCUGCGUGGGAAGAUUUCGAGCUUCCAGCAGUAGUCCGGCGAGAUGAUUCCUGAAGCAUAGGAACGUCUCAAUGAGUACAUUCGCGCCUGUCCUCAUCAUGGGAUAGAUGAAUGCCUCAUUAUUCAAGAUUUCUACCACGGACUGACCGGCAUGGCCCGUAGUCACCUUAAUGCCUCAGCUGGAGGGGCAUUCUUGUAGAAAAAUGUCAAGGAUGCCAAGGACCUCAUUGAAAAGAUGGUCAUCAACCAAGGAUGGAAUGAGGAGCGCCUCCAACCCAAGAAGAGAGGUGACCACGCCCUCAGUGAGGUGGACAUGCUCUCUUCCAAGAUGGACCUCCUUAUGAAGAAAAUAGAGGAAUCUUCCUCUAAAAAGGGAAUUAAGGCCAUCCAGACCCCUACUGCUGUUCGUGCUGUGGAAAUUGAUCCAUGGUGCAAGGUAUGCGGAGGAGAUGAUCACUCAGACAAUAACUGCCCCGAGACCCAGGAGGAGGUGAACUACAUCAACACAACAACUUCAACAACGGGAACUGGCCCCAAGAACAACAAUGGAGUUCAUGCCCCUUCUACCAAGGCCAAGGUAUGGGUUACAAUAAUAAUUCUGGUAAGCGCGCCCUGAUAUUAGUGGCAAGAAAUGGAAGGCGAGGCGUGAUCGUGUCGUGAAGGGUGGGGGUGGAAAAGGAAAAUAGUGGGUGGGCUGAGAGCGCUGGGGGGCGAGAUCGGGGUCAUCAGACAUGGGACCUGGUGGAUCGUGGCCGUCCGACGCGAUAUCACGAGGAGUUGGCCGCGGUGAGAGGCUAGCUGACUGGCUGGCUUGUGCUUGACUGGAUUGUAGUACUCAGGACAGGCUUUUUGUCUGAAGGUGCCGCUCUAGGUUCCAAAUUUUCUACCUCCACUGCAUCCAAACAUAUAUGUAUGUGUGACAGUGGUAUCCAUGGAGUGAAUUGUCAUUUUUCCAGAACCUUUCUUCUAGAAACUUGUAAUUAAUUGGCCUUGUGAUUGUUCUGCAUUUUGCCUUUGUUCUGCUCCAUUCCUCACAUUUUUUCCUUUUCAAGUCAAAGCACUGAUAGUAUCUACAAUUCAAUCGCCAAUCCUCAGCUGCCCAAUGUACUCCAGUAACAAAGAUGACAUGAGGUGACGUUGUGAGCACAGGUGCGGGUGGCGGCUGGAUACUCCUCUUUGGGAUGUAGGAUGGAACUGUAGGGCUGAGGGAGCUCAAGAGGGGCGCCAUUGCUGCUAUUGCGUGCUUUGGUAGUGGUGGCGAGGGCUGAGGGUUCCUUCAUUCCACCUCUAACCUGGACCUUUACUGUUCAAUGACAUACCUAGUAUACUUCAUCGGUAGUCGUUCCCGUUCCUAAUGUGGUUGCCCUACUCCCCUGCCUCGCAGGUACCAGCUAGAGGCACUCGAGCACGCGCUGGUGGGGAACACGCUAACGUUCCAGGAGACGGGCGCCGGGAAGACGCUCAUCGCGAUGCUUCUCCUGUGCUGCUUUCACUGUCGUUGUCGCCAUCAUUGCUGCCAUAGUCGCUAGUGCCACCACCGUCACCACCAUCCUCAUCCGCGACGCCACCUUGGAUGAUGGGGUUAUCAAGGAGAGGUGAGGAUGCACCAUGGAUGGAGAAUUGUUUCUCGUGUUUACGCCGAAGUAGGCGAGCACCUCAUAGAAGAAGCCGUGUAGCGGGACACGCAUCCCGUCCUACAUGACCUGCUCAUACACGCAUUUGUCCGCCCUCGUGAGAGUAUGUGCCUUUCAUUAUCUUUGCAAUGGGAAAAUACAUAAAUAUUUAACUGUAUUUGUAGCUUGUAUAAAGAACUUGUAUUCUUUCAAAAUUCUACAACACUAUUUAUCAUAAAAUGUGCUAAAUGAUUAAAGCCUGACAACAUAUAAUUUUAUUUUUUUAUGUAUAAAGGUACUUCAUAACACUAAAUCUCAAGUUCAUGUAUCUUACAGUUUAGGGUUUGUUAGGGACACUAUGACCCUUUGGAAAGACUAUGAUGUGGAACGUAGAUCUAAAAAUGACCAUCCAAAGGAGUUUACAAGGGAACACGUAAGUUCUCAUAUAAUGAAAACAAAAUAUCAUGUCAUUAUGGUGGAACAUGGGAAACAAACCAUGCCUAUUAAUUUACCUCUUACAUAACUAAGUUUUUUUCAGCUGUGAAAAGGACUUCUUCAGCUCAUUUGAUUCUUGUAUGAAUGCAACAGAUUAGAUUCAAGAGUUUCUACGGAGAGAGAAGGAAAGAAAGAGAGAGAGAGAGCAGAGAAAAUGGAGGCGGUGUCAGCAUUUCUCCACAACAACACUGGUAGGGAGAACAAAUAAAAUAGAUGAUAAAAAAUGAUCAAAUCUCUCUCACCAAAGAGCAAACCAAUGAUGUCAAAUGGAUGUUGCUUCACAAUAUUUAUGUUCAUCAAUUGUACUUCCAGACUUGGGAUAGAGGGUCAACCAAAUGAUCUUUUUGGCUAUGAUUGUCAAAGUAGAAAGACCGCUGAUUUGGUCAUGUGUGCAAUCUGCAGCUGCGUACAGGAUCCUUUUGCCACAUGUAAGGGAUAUUGAUCAGAAAAUGACUAUUGAUCAGUGUUGUUACACAUUGAACAGUUGAACCAGGAAGCAUCACCAUGUCCAUCAUCGGCAGAAAGUUAUUGGCUCUAUAAUGUUGUUACACACUGGGGCAGCAUCACCUUGUACAUCAUGUGCUCUAAGUUCUUGCAUAUGUAGAUUUGCUGUGCACUGGGCAACAUCACGUUCUGCACUUGUAGUUUUCUCGCAUCAGUAGUGUUCCAACAAGAACAAACAAAUAAUCCACAAACAAUAAACAAACAACAAACAACAAAUAAAUUAGAAACCAAACAAGAAAACAUCAAUUUUGAUGGCGCCCUCGAUGAUAGGAUCAUCACGGAGAGGCAAGGAGGCAUCAAGGAUGUAGCUAGAGGAGGAAGACGAGGAGGAUGAGGAUGCUCAGUGUCUCCAUCUUCCUCUUCUUCCUCCUCUAGCUAGAGCUCUUGGAGCAGAUGAUGGACAAGGUGAUGCUUCUCAGUGCACAGAAAAAUUGCAAGUGGAAAACCUUAGAGCAGAUGGUGGUCAAAGUGAUGUUAUCCACUCCACAGGAACCCAACUGAUGCAAGAAAACUAUAGGUGCAGAACGCAAUGAUGCCCAGUGCACGGCAAGUCUACAUGCAAAGUGAUGGUCAAAGUAAGUACUCCUCUUUGUCAGCCAAGAGUCUCCCACAAAUCAUCAUCUCAUGUACAUAAAUCCUGUAAUAUACACAAGGAUGCAUGGCAUAGAUAAUGCUUUUGUGGCUUUGUUCCUUCAACACAUACGCCCAUCGUGAUCGACAUGUGUGGUGUUUGGGUGUGACUCACAAAUAUGAUGUUACACUAUACGAAGUAAAUGUUUGUAGAAACUAUUUAUUGAUAAAAAACACUUUUAUGAUGUUCAAUAAAAUAUAUAAACAUAUUGUGUACAAUGUAUAAUGUUUGUAGAAACUAUUUAUUAACAAAAAACAUAUUUAUGAUAUUCGAUAAAAUGUAUAAAUUGUAUACAUACAUAGUAAAGUGCAAAGAAUUACCACACAGUUGCACCGAUACAUUGUAUGCAUAUUAUUUAUGAAAAAAUACAUUUAUGAAGCUUGAUACAAUGUACAAAAAAUUAUGGGUAUCGACACAUUGUGUACAUGCAGCCAUGCGUUGUAGGCAUAUGUACAAAAUUGUGAGCGUGCAGUCCACGCCGGUGUCAAACACAGUGCUUGUCGCGUUCCUGAACGGUGUGAGGAUGGUGACGCCUCAAACAAAAUAAAAUGGCCAUAGGAUCGCAUUGACACAUUUGUAUAUGGCUGGUAGCCCUAAUUUGUACAUAGGCACGGAAGAAGCUUCCCAGUCCUUUUGACAAAAGCCUAGAGCUUCUCCAGGAGAGGGAUAUGGAAAUCCAGCUCUUUGUUGUCUUCACUGCCUCCAUUGUAUUUGAAAUUGAUCAGCAGACGAUCCAUGAAUUCCUGGGCCUCCUGCACUGACUUGCCUGAGAUGUGCAGCCAUCGUCGUCAUCGCCUCAAAUACCUGUGUAGUCGUCGUCGCUUCAAAUAGCCAACUAGCUAGAGGUGGCCCAUAAAACCAUACACAAGUUCCAACCAGCAAACCCCUUCUGUUUCAAAGUUUUAGUUUCACACAACCUGUACUAGCCCUUUGGUUUUCAUUCUCUGACUAGACAAAUACUACAUUAAUUAACAAUUUAUAUCAAGUAACUACAACACAUCAAGCUUCUUAUACUAGUACACAACCUGAGAACAUGGAAUGCAUUGGCGUUAAAGGCAUGUCAAUUUGCAAUUACCCUCAAUUGCAAAAAUGUAAUGUUCGGGAGCACUGCCAUGUCUUGUAUCAUUUUUUAUUCUUUUUGUUGUCUUUGUUGUCUUCGGUGCUCUUUGUUUCCCUUCAAGAUAACUUAGUUGCACAAGUAUUUUAAGUAUAUGUAUAUGUAUAUGUAUAUGUAUAUGUAUAUGUAUAUGUAUAUGUAUAUGUAUAUGUAUAUGUAUAUGUAUAUGUAUAUGUAUAUGUAUAUGUAUAUGUAUAUGUAUAUGUAUAUGUAUAUCUAUAUGUAUAUGUGUAUGUAUAUGUAUAUGUAUAUGUAUAUGUAUAUGUAUAUGUAUAUGUAUAUGUAUAUGUAUAUGUAUAUGUAUAUGUAUAUGUAUAUGUAUAUGUAUAUGUAUAUGUAUAUGUAUAUGUAUAUGUAUAUGUAUAUGUAUAUGUAUAUGUAUAUGUAUAUGUAUAUGUAUAUGUAUAUGUAUAUGUAUAUGUAUAUGUAUAUGUAUAUGUAUAUGUAUAUGUAUAUGUAUAUGUAUAUGUAUAUGUAUAUGAUAUGUAUACGUAUACGUAUACGUAUAUGUAUACGUAUAUGUAUACGUAUAUGUAUAUGUAUAUGUAUAUGUAUAUGAAAGGCCUCACUACAUAGUUGUUAAUCAGAACAUUAAGAAAACUCUUUUCUUAAUCAUCGAUGUGAUUCUAGUAAUGAUGUACAAUGUUGUCAUUACAUUUUGUUAAAUAUGUACUCAUCUGAUGACAACUCCUACCAUAAUGGAAAUGAAGUUGAUAGACAUGAAAAAUAAAAAUGUUAUGAGGCCAUGCAAAUAUCAUGUAUAAAUAGCCCAUUAGAACUUAGUUGCACAAGUAUUAGAAAAAUCUGAAAAGUUAUGGGGCCAUGCACAAGACAGAGGACACUACGAAACAGAGCCCAUCUCACCCUGCUGCUAAUCUAAUUAACUCAUCGUCUCAAGCACAGCGAUAACUCAUUAUUUACUCCAACCCUAGCAAGGCACUUCGUUGUCUGAUACCAGAAAACUGAUCUAUGCUACUAAUAUGCUCCCAGUCAAUCCACUUCAUUUUAAAUAUAUUAGCACACUUAUAUAUAUUGGUGUACAAGCCUGCUUCUCAAUGUACCAGAACAUCUUGUCUAUCUCUGUCCUGUACCCCUUAUAGUGGUUAAUAGUUCUGAGUCUCUUAAGCCCAAUAAAAGGGGCCCGAGCGUAACCCAAGGGCUCUCCGCCCUGUACUGGAGCAACUAUGAGGCAAGUCCUUCUCUUUCCAACCUCUAUCAUUGGCACUUGCUUCCCUAACUCGGACUCUAAGGGUGUCUGAUCACUAUCUGUGUCAUUACUGUAUAAGUCAGGGUGCUCAAACUGUGAGCCCUUUGGCUAGUAUUCCUCGUGUGAUAAAUGCGACAGCGCCGUUUCCCCAACUGCUCAGCCACCUACAUAAAGGAAACAUAUCAUAUGAACAUAGUGGAACAUGCAAGAUAUUAAUAUACCCUGCACCCAAAGAAAUGAGUGAAAAAGAAAAACACUUGCAAUAUUGAAAAUUGUCAAAUAAGAUGAUGUGCAUGACAUUUAGGCCUGCAAUGGUGCCAGCAUCUAUGGUGGCAUGUCGCUGGUAGUUGUUGAAAUACGCCGGCAUAGUGAUGAUGGCAUUCUUGAUUGUCAUGCCAAAAUACGUCUCAGUGGUCUCCUUAAGUUUGAUCGGCACCAUCGCCAAAAUCUGCUAAGGUGUAAACUGUCUCUCCUUACCUUCAUACUACACCAAAAUAAUAGGAUGGUCAUCACGUCCUGCGAUGACUCUGAAAAGCCAUGAGAUGAUGUCAUUUUGCAUAGAGUUCUCACUAAAUCGGCGGCCGAUCAGUUGCUUCAUUUUUGUUUAAGACCUCAACAACAAAAUCAAACAAACAAACAAAAACAGCAAUGACAAAAAAAGAAAACAACAAGGAAACAAUGAACAACAAAAACAAACAACAAACAAUAAAUAAUAAACAAAUAUGUAUUUAAUGAAGUAGUUGCUCCUUUUGUGAAGCCAACCGCUUGUGAUGCUGCCGUGGGCAUAAAUGAUAAUGUGGCAGGUGGACCAUCGGUGCCUGAACCCGCAGAACCUUGUUUGCAAAAUUCACUUGUUACUUGGGAUCCUAAGUUGGCUCAUUGUAAGCAAAAGACAACCCAUGAUAUUACUGAUAUAUCUAGAGGGAUAGAGCGGGUAAGAAUACCUGUAGUAAAUGAAUUUGGUAGCGAGACCUGUCCUCCAUUCUUUUAUUAUGUAGCAAGAAAUCGUAUCUUCCAAAAUGCUAAUGUCAAAAUCUCAAUUGCUCGGAUUGGUGAUAAAGAUUGUUGUGUUGAUUGUUUCGGCAACUAUUUGUCAGCUAUUUCGGCAAAUUAUUGUUUGGGCAACUAAUUGUCUUCCAAAAUGAAGACUGUUUGCUAGGUGAGUGAAGCAUAUUUUAUUUUAUAGUUGCUGUCGUGGGAGCUUAAAUUUGGAACACACAAACAAUUGUUUUUUGUUUUUCUAUAAACAUAUUUGUUUUACUUCUACCUAGCAUUAUUCAAGAUACAAACAAUCAACCAACCCAAAUCCACCCUUGACCUCAUGGACUCCUAAGCCCGGCAUUAAAUUAUCUCGUGGUUUUGUUUCACCUCGCUUUGUUCCAAAUGCAGCUUUUUGAUGUAUAUACACACACCUAUAACAUAGCUGAAUUACAUAAAAUUAUUUGUAUUUUGUUCAAAUGUUACUGGAAUAAUACAUAAACAAAACUGUCUCAGACAGCAUAAAAUAAUAUAGGGAAUCUAGUGAAGCGUACGAGACAGAUACUAAGUUUAGCAUCUAAUCUCAUGCAAUGUGUUUGCUAGUACAUAACUAUCUUAUCUACCCAACGUGCAUGAUCCUGAACGGCAUGCCAAAAUAUCUACGCCACUUGCAACCUACUGUGCUCCAUCAUUGUCCACCGACACGACAAGCUGUUCGGGGUCAAGGUGCGGAUACCAACGCAGCGUGGUACGUUUCAUAACCUCUAGACCCUGCUCAUACCUGACCAGUACAUGCUCGGUCAAUUGGCUCUCCAGUUCUUUACAACCCUAGAUCUCGCACACCGCAGCCACCCUAGGGCUCAUCAGCUCCUUCACGUGCGCCUUCUUCGUGCCGGCGAGCUCGGCCUUGGCCUGUGGCAGGUCCUGCCGCAGCUCGUCCUUAAGCUCCCGCGUGUAGCCCAGCAUGAAGGAUGCGUAGUUCGUGGCCUGCGUGCGCAUUACUACGGCCGACGACCACAACAUAGCAGUAUUCUAUGACCAACGUAUCUUUGUAUCCUAUUUACCAAAAUCUUUUCUGUUUUACUGGCCAAGGAAACUUCCAUUUUGCAAAGAUAGCAUUCAGAGGUUCUUGUAUCAUCUGACAAUGCAGGAUCUUGAUAGAAUGUGUGGAAGCUGAUAGAACAAUUGGAAUUCCACUACUUCCCCUGUCAGUAGCAGUUCUAAGUCAACAACGGUUUGAUAUCCAUUCUAGAGGAACACUACUAUGUACACAAUGUUUACAUAUUAUCAACAAAUGUCAGUGCAAUUGUUUGUGUAAUUGUAUGUACAUUAACUAUGUAUGUACACAAUGUGAUUUUACAUUGUAUCGAAUGUCAUAUAUGUGUUUCCAUAACUAGUUUAGUUUGUUGUACAUUAUUUGUAACAUUUGGUUAACAUUUAAGUUAAUAAAUCUGAGCUUGAGAAUCUCAUAAAAUUGGGAGAACAAAUCGUAGGGACGGCGCUGAUUGGUCGCCGCCUCCUUCACGUCCCCAGUUGCUCUCAUGCCAAAGCACGCCGCGAUGUCCAAGAUGAUAACGCUUGCUCUAAUUAUCCGGCCACGACACCAUAUUAGUCUAGCAUGCAAUAAGUGCAAACUUCUCUACAAGUGACGCAUGCUCAAGAAUACAUGCUAGUGCACUGCAAUCAGCAGGCUGACACCAGUAAUCUUCACUAAGGACUAGGCCAACAUAUGUAUAUGUAUAUGUAUAUGUAUAUGUAUAUGUAUAUGUAUAUGUAUAUGUAUAUGUAUAUGUAUAUGUAUAUGUAUAUGUAUAUGUAUAUGUAUAUGUAUAUGUAUAUGUAUAUGUAUAUGUAUAUGUAUAUGUAUAUGUAUAUGUAUAUGUAUAUGUAUAUGUAUAUGUAUAUGUAUAUGUAUAUGUAUAUGUAUAUGUAUAUGUAUAUGUAUAUGUAUAUGUAUAUGUAUAUGUAUAUGUAUAUGUAUAUGUUUGCAGCUAAACCUUAUAUUCAUAAGUUUUUUCAUAUGACUGUGAGAAGAGUAGAGAAGUUAUGCACUUUUUCGCGAAGGUACAAACUGUUUUAUUUAUAAUUAUUCUUUUAUCACACCAAAAUUUAAGAUAUUAUAAUCUUCUUAUCAAAUAAGAACUCCCGCAUACAGUAUUUCACCAUCUCAUUGUCAAAUAAAAUAUUUUAUAUACUAUCUAGGCUAGGAGUAUACAUGAAAUUUUAUCGAUAUCAGAAAUAUAAGAAGUAUUAUAUGCACCUGAGUACUAGCACAUCAAAUUAUUGUUGUAGACACUUCAUACAUACAUACAUACAUACAUACAUACAUACAUACAUACAUACAUACAUGCAUGCAUACAUGCAUACAUACAUACAUACAUACAUACAUACAUACAUACAUACAUACAUACAUACAUACAUACAUACAUACAUACAUACAUACAUACAUACAUACAUACAUACAUACAUACAUACAUACAUACAUACAUACAUACAUACAUACAUACAUACAUACAUACAUACAUACAUACAUACAUACAUACAUACAUACAUACAUACAUACAUACAUACAUACAUACAUACAUACAUACAUACAUACAUACAUACAUACAUACAUACAUACAUACAUACAUACAUACAUACAUACAUACAUACAUACAUACAUACAUACAUACAUACAUACAUACAUACAUACAUACAUACAUACAUACAUACAUACAUAUCUUGGUAGAGAAGAUUUUGACAAUGGGGAGUUCAUAAGGAAAUACACGAAGAUUAUAAUAUUUAAAUUUUUGUUGCGAUAAAGGAAAAAGUAUUAUACACAUAAUUGUUUGUAGUGUAUCAAGCUUCAUAAAUGUAUUUUUUCAUCAAUAAUAUGUAUACAAUGUAUCGGUGCAACUGUGUGGUAAUUGCUUGCACAUUUACUAUGUAUGUACACAAUUUGUACAUUCUAUUGAACAUCAUAAAUAUGUUUUUUUGUCAAUAAAUAGUUUCUUCAAACAUUGUAUAUUGUACACAAUAUGUUUAUAUAUUUUAUCAAACAUCAUAAAUGUGUUUUUUAUCAAUAAAUAGUUUAUAUAAACAUUUACUUUAUAUAGUGUAACAUCUUGGUCUUCUUCCUAAUAUAACUUUUCACCUCCAUCCUGAUGCGAGUGCGGGUGGAGGCGCGCGCUAGGGUUCACAAUCUAGAGGAAAACAGUAGUCUGACUAGAGAUCUCCUUGCCGUGUCGCCUCGCCCUCCGCUGCCGCUUCCUCGUGAUCCCGUCUACGGAAAGCGCCCCGUCGGGUUCGAGUCUGUACUAGAAACAACACACGGCGUUGCCACGCGCUUGUCGUGAGUGAGAACAUUAGUUGGAGGCUGCCCAUGUAUCUCCGUUUAUUCCGUAGUAGAAAGGAUUGCAUAUAUUGAUGUGCUUAUUCACUUAGUAAUAAAUCAUAUUGAAAAUGUAACACAAUGUCACGGCAUAUGCAAAGAGAACGAUAAGCAAAAGAUGUGUAUCUGAAUGCAUGUCGAUGGAGGCACAUUACUUCACAAUGAUCCCUCUAUGUGACUUCAAACAAGAUUACAAAUGGUAAUUUACCGUUGAGGAAAAAUCAAAUCUGUUUGCUCUAGCAUGAUUAUUGUUGUACAUAACUAAGAAAAGUAUGCAAAUAUAAUUAAUAAAAAGGUGGAAGAUGUAUGGAGUCAUGGAGGUAUGACAGGGAAGCAAUCUUUUCUUUUUAUUAGCAUAGUAGCUGAAUGAGUGAUUAUACAUUUUGAAAAUUAGUCCCAUUUGAUGAAGUGACAAGUACCAGAAGGAGCUAUUAUAUUAUGGUAAUUCAACUUGGCACUGUGCAUAUGAUUUCUACAGAAAUAAAUUGAAAACCAGUAGUACUUAUAAACUCUUAAUUCUGAAUUCAUGCUUUGCAAUUUAAGAAGAAAAAGAUAUAAUGCAUGACACAUGAUCAUAGUUCAAAUUGUUGCGGUUGUCUCCCAAAAAAAUGUAUUUUUAAUGACAAUGAGAUGGAAGAAAGAAAAAGAAGCAUUUGAAACAAAGUAGGAUAGGAGCGAGAGGCUGAAGAGGACGUGCAGGGGUGGCCUUGCCUCUUGCUUGCCUGCUGCUGCCGGCUGCCGGAGGGCGACGGCCGACGGCAAGCGGGCCGCCGCCGCACUGCUGCGGGAUGGAGCAGGAGUGCAGGACGAGCGGUGGAGCGGGAGCCACCGUCCCGCCGAGCACCGAGCAGGGGGUAUUCAAACGAGGUUGGUGGCUUGCUGCUCGCCGGGACCCUGCCCUGCCCCUGCCUGCGCCCCGCGCCGGCGCCAGGCGUGCCCCUGCCGGCGCCGCGCCGUCGCCCGCUGAUGCACCUUGCUACGUGCGCGUGCCGCCGCUCUAGCCUGCUGCCUACCGGUUACCGCCGCUGCACGCCGCCGGCAGCUCGAAAUCGCCCCAAAUCACAUGCUGGUUCACGCUUGGGAUGGGACGCCGAGCAGCGGCUGAGGGCUGCUUAGCCUUGUUGGGCCAGGGGAAGGAGGUGAUAUUUUGCCAUUUUGGUUUUGGGCCUGCGGGAUAUAAUAGGCUGCUUAGCCUUGUUGGGCCGCCGGUGGGAGAUAAAAAAUGCUGAGAAUUGGCCUGUUUUGCUAAUACACGUCUCAGUUCACUAUAUUUUUUACUUUUUUUCAUGCUAGAUUGUGGCCAUGCCCCGUGCGUUGCAACGUGAAAACAAAUAUCAUGGUAAUUUGAGGUGUAUCAUGAUAAUCCUGAUUUAAACAUAUAAUGUACUUAGCCAAAAUAAUAUUACUUUGAGUAGUGUUUAUAAUUUUUUUGUAUAGCCAGUCAUCAAUUCCAUAGGAUCAUAUAUGCAUGAUGAUUCAAACCUCAACUGGAUAAAGCACCUCAUGAGGGUAGAAAUUGCUUGAAAAUGCCUCAUAGUCUUGUGUGAUAUAUAUAUUUUCCCCUAAAACUAGAAUGACAUUUGCUUGGUAGUUGUCAGUGUUUUUAUCAGCUACCCUGAUGCCAUUUCUCUUUGAGUUCAAGUGUUCAACUGCCGAGCUAGGCUUGGAUGAUUGGAGGAGAACGCAGCAGCGACGCCGAAUCGAGCUUGUGGGAGACAGGGUCCUGCCUUAGCGCCGAUCCGCACUUCCUGCUUCCAAUUGGAGUGAGGUAAUAUAUUUCCCCUCUAGAUGAUUACUCUCGUGAUUGACACACUACUACUUGAAGCCCUCCAAAUUAGUUACAAGACAAAAUCUAUGCCUUCUAAUGUUGGUGUAGUUGGUACUUGGUACAACAUGUUCUGUAAUGUUGAACUUUGGCUGUGUGGUGCUCUGGUGGCAUGCUACUUUAGGUUUCUUAUCUUGCUGUACAUAAUUUUGUGGCAUCACAUUGAAGCUUAGAUGGCAAUAGCUGUAACAAAACUGUCCAAUUUAUUACCUUGGCAGGCAGCUGAUGGGUUACUUCCCGUUGUCCAUAUCCCUCUCUGUGAGAAGCUCUAGGCUAAAAUUAGAGAAACAAGCAUCACACGCUGGCACCGCCACUGCCAUCCUCAUCCGCGACGCCGCCCACGAUGAUGGGGUAACUCAUAUAGCCGCCACUCUCUCCUCUCAGCCUCCCUAACCUGUUCGGGAACCGCUAUUCCCAAUAGGAUGAAAGGAAAAUCGAAUUCAAUAAACCGGAACCAAAUUCAAUUCACGUUCUUUGAAUUCGGUUGAGAUAAACCAAAAUUUCGAUUUAGUGGGACGGAAAAUGAUUCUUAACAAUCGAAUCCGAUUUGUGUUCUUCGAAUUUGGUAGAGAUAAACCAAAUUCGAUUUAGUGGGAUGGAAAAUCGAAUUCGGUACCGUUUUGUCGAAUGCAAUUCAUUCAUCGAAUUCGGUCGAUAUAAUCCAAAUUCGAUUUAUGCGUCGCUGACGCCGCCACCGCCAAAGUUCUUGUUGUGGCCACCCCUAGAGGCUCCACACCUACCUUCUUUCUCUUGCAAUUCAAGGGGAUAAAACACUAGGUUCAUACAUUUAAGAGAUCUAAGUAGUCACAAAGCUCAUGUUCAUGGCGACUUUUGGACCUAGUGCUUUCUAGAAAACUGGCAAUAUCAUGUCACUGUAUUGACUACCACUAGUUGUAUUAUAAUGCCAGAAAUGCUAUUGAGUUAAACUUGUCCUGAUAAGUACCAACUCCUCAUAAACAUCCUAGGUCCACCUCUGCUCUUCUUUUCUUAUCACAUGCCUCAUUCUCUAUAGCAUCUCUCUUGAGUAUAAACAUUUUUAUGUCCUCAAUAUUUAUGAGAAUCUACUAUUAAUUAGUAUGGGGAUCUACGAAGUAGAGUAACCAUCAUACCAUGAACAAAAUCCAAACAUAGGUUCGGGGGCUACACCCGGCAGGUGUGCUCACCGUAGAAAAAAUUCAAAGGCCUCGACAAGGCAAACUUAGUCUAGCAGGCAAAGGAACAAACAGUUCCCUUACGUGCUCGGGGCUACUGUCGGGGAAAAAACCAGGCUUAGAAGGAAAGGCCAAAAUGAUCUUCAAGAACAAAUCAGCUCAACUCGGCCCAUCUGCACCAUCGGAAGCGAAGGAGGCCAGCCAAGCUAAACUCGUAUGGUGGAUCCGGUGGGUAGUGUAUAUAUUCUCUUCUAUUAGAGUAGUUCUACCUAGAAUAAGGUUGGAUUUCUUACCGGUGGAGUUGACAUCGGUAAGCUUUUGUCCCUUCCAAAUUUUCUCUACUAUUGCUUCUGUUCGUGCUGAGCAGGGAGAGUAGCUACAGCCUGUAGAUGUGAGCAGAGGCAUGAAGAGGAGGGGAGUAGCGCAGUCGGCCUGGGAGGAAAGGAUCUAGUGGUUCUGUGUAUCGGCUGUGGUGCCGCUGGGUGCAGCGAGCGGACGGUGGGAGGCUAAUGGACACCAGCAAUUCGAUGGCUAGAAUAUAGCAGUGAUUUGGCCAUUCGUUUUUGCAAAUUAAUGUGUGUAUAUGAUCUGUUGUUCAAUACUUCAAUACAUCAUAUGAUGAUGUAAUGAAUAAUUCAAGGAAUGGUUGAAAUUCCAUUCUUCUUCAGAUUUGGUUCUAGCUAGCACCUGUUACCUGAAAUUUAUGAGCUGAAUUUAUUUACAAUAAUAAUGCACCAGAAAAUUGAUCAAUAAUGUGCAGUAGAAACACUAACCUUGCUGCAUGUUUUUUUUGGAGAUAAAUGGGAACCGUGGACACCGCAGGAAGAACUCCAAAUCCCAAGGGGGGUCAGAGGCAUCAGAUUUUUCUAUGUCAUCUCAUCUGGUAUGCUCCAUUCGACAAUAAUAAUGCACCAGAAAAUUGAUCAAUAAUAUGCAGUAGGAACACUAACCUUAAAUCCCAAGGGGGGGUCAGAAGCAUCACUUGUUUCUAUGUCAUUUCAUGAGGUAACAUUAACUAUGCCUAGCGCUCAGAUAUAUUUGCUGGUCACUGUUUCAGCGUGUUUUUUAUAGGUAACUAGAGACAAAGGACUCCCCCAGAUGAUGAGUCGGCCAUUAGAAGAUAAGAAUGUGGAAUAUGAUGAUAGUAUAUGUAUUGAUUUUGGUUUUAAACCUGAUGAGGUGAAAGAGGCAGUACAAUACCUUGAUAAAGGAGAUCGUGAUGAGGUGAAGAAGCUUGGUUUUGGAACAUUUCUGGACCUAAGUAUUGGAGAUUUUAAACAAAGACAUCGACAACCUAUUGAUUCUAUUGUCAGAAACGUAACUGUCGAAAAAGAUAGAAUUGCAAUAUGCAUGCGGGAUGGUGUGAUUUUGUACUUGACACCCGAGAUCAUAUCUCUGUGAAUGAAUCUACCGCGUGGUGACAAGGGGCCUCUGGACUGCAAUCCUCAAAAGAAUACUGCAGAGCUUGCUAAUUGCCGCACUGAACUUGGUGUGAAAUCCUUGAAAGUUGAGAAUGUAGUUGAGGUAUUGAAGAAAACAAAGGACAGAAAAUUGAAGGUCAAAUGUUUUAUGCUUCUGGUAAUUUCCAGAAUUCUGAUGCCCACCACCACUACCAAGACUAUCAAUACAAAUGCAGUCAUGUAUACUAAAGAAAUGGACACCAUUAAAGACUUUGACUGGUGCACUAUAGUUUAUGACGAUUUAAGGACCUCAGUCAGUAGUUACAAAGACAAAUUGAAGAAACUUGCGCUGUGUCCACCGAAGAGCAAGCCAUCAAGGGUUAUCAGUGGAUGUGUAAUAAAGCUACUGGUAAGCAUCAACUCUACUUUUCCCAUUCAAAACCAAGCUGUGAAGCUCUGUCUGAACUAAUUCUGGUUGGCAGGCCUAUGUUGUUGACAACAUGGAGAUGGAGCUGCCUGAGAAGGAUGAUGAGGGUAGAAAAAAAUGCCCCAAGAUAAAUCAAUAUAAUAUGGAGUUUUUGAUGGAGAUGAUUUGUAAAGCUAUGCGCAAACGCAAAGAUUGCCCUCCUACAUUUGAGAUGUUUAAGGUAAGUACAAGGCAUCUGGCUCAAUUUUACUUGUGUGAAGAGGUAGGUUUUAGUUCUUAUCUGUUCAAUUUACCUUUUCAGCUGAAAGGAAUUGAGGAUACCUGCUAUCGUGAAACUUCAAGGUAUAUUGUGUCCUCAAGGGACAUAGAAUCCCUAAAUUCUGUAGCGACAUCAUCUGUGUCUAGAGGUGUGCCUCCGUUUGCAAAGAUCGGGUUCCCAUUAGCCCAUCAACACCAAGGGGUACUUGCUGAAGUUGAGCGAGUUGGUCCAAGUGCUCGGCUUAAGUCACAAGCAUCAAAAUGCUUGGCUGUACUGAAGGAUAUCACUUAAGGGUUUAGUCAAGAUCAGGUGGAUCAACUGUACGAGAACCAUGUGCUUUCCAAGAUUGGUCAAUGUGGCAGUCACCAUGUUGUGGACAUCAAUGACCACACUAUCCCUGAAGUUACGCUUGUUAAUGCCUUCAAGCCCAAGGGUGAGAUGGUCUCGAUCAUUAUUCAUGCACAAUGUUCUAUAUGGAAUAUGCAACAUCAUGACCGAGUUUAUCUAAAACAAGAAUGUGUUGAUGAUUUGAUUGUUGGAAUUUCUUCUAUAAAUCUGAGCAGACAGCUAGACAUAUACCGUCAGCCAAAUACAUUAAAGCAUGUAACUCAGGUUGGUUGGUUUUUUCCUGUUUUGUUAUUUUAAUAGGUUCAUUGGAUGGCAUGAUCAUGUUCUUGUUCUUGCAGAUAUUUGUCCCUCUAUUCCAUGACAAACACUUCUCUCUUAUUGUGGUGAAUCUUCAAAAUGGUUCUUUUGAUUGUCUGGACUCAAUGACUAGGCCUACAGGGAACCCUGUAGAGGAAAAAGUGAUUGCAAAUAUGCGUCAAUACUUGGCUGAAAGGUUUGACAUAUCUGAUGUUGAUACAUGGCCUCAAGCAGUCUUGCCAGUUAGGCAGCAAAAGAACACUUAUGAUUGUGGCUUUCGUCUGAUGCUUCAUAUGAUACAUUAUAGGACGAAAGACAUGAAUAGGAUUGAUGAGGUUAGUGCUGGCAAGUCUUGUCUUUUACUUAGUUUUUUGCUGGUGUUUUACUUAGUUUUACCUUAGAUAUACAGGACAUGGUCUUCAGAUACCGCAGAAGACUUGCGGUUGAGUUAUUAUAUAAUGAACAAAACAAAGUGAAGCCCCAUAGAGACCAAGCCUUGAGUUCUUAGGUGUCCAAUUAUUGCCACGGCAGUCCAGAUGUUGCCGUCAUCAGGUCUCAACCGCAACCUUCUGAGACAAAUAAGCCACCUGAGAAACAUAGUUCCAAACGGAAGGUCAAUAAGGCACGUGGUCCCAAACGGAAGGUCAACAAGAAACAUGAUGCCUUGACAGAGACAAAUGAGGAAGUAGCUGCUUCCAACAUGAAGAUGAAACCUGCUGGCCCGAAGACAAAUGAUCAGAAGCCACCUUCUCCGCCACCUGCUUCCAAACCUGCUGAACCUACUGGCAACGAAUGUCGCAGGACCAAUAGGGUAAAGCUAAGACAUAACUAUGGUGUCCUUGACAAGGGUACCUAAAGAUAAAGUGAGAGUCAAACAAGAGGCAAAAAGGGUAAAAAGGUGAAAGGCAGAUCCAGAGCUUUAGAGUUUGGACUCUCGUUUUUGCUUGACAUCAGAUAUUUGGACAGCAUCACAAAAUCUAGGAUACAAGGAAGCAUGUACUGACAGCAGUCUUUGUAUGUUGGUUGCAUUGGCUUUCCUGUUAGUAGUUUUGGUGAUGUAUUAUAACAUUUUUAAGCAGCUAGCUGAGCAGAUUAUCUUGUAAUGAAGUAGUAGCUUGUCCCUUUGUUCUGUGAUCAUUCAGUUCUACAAGGAGAGAAACCUGUUUGUCAGUAGUUCUUGCUCAAUCAUAUUAUUAAGCUUUUGCAUGUAUGUGUAGUGUGGAGCUUAUUAGUAGUUCCUGCUUCUAUCUAGUUCCCACGAACAUGUGAUGUUUUUUUAUUUUUCCUAGAUUAUAUAUUUUUGAUAUAAACACACCGCUCCAAAUUUAUUAGCUUUUUAUUCCACCUCAUUCGCUCUCUAUUUUUGAAAUUAUUAUCUGGUUGGGUAUCAUUGGCAAUGACGGAAUUCGUGACUAACUUUAUUAUCCUGCCAAACACAAGUUCUAAGUUCACAGUCUCCAUAAAUACAAACAAAACCCAAAGUCCAUGGUCUGCUCAACUUUUGUUAUGUCAAUUGGAUUCCAAGCCCACGAUAUCAUGCAGAGAAUACCUACUAUUCUGACACUGAGGUGGUGUGUUACGUACCGAAGAGGAAGAGGAGCUAUCAGACUAGUUUAUGUUUAAAUACUUUGUUCUUAAUAUAGUUCAACUUUUGUUAUGUCAAUUGGAUUCCAAGCCCUCGAUACUUUGAGUUUCAUGCAGGGAAUACCUGUAAUUCUGACAAUGAGGUGGUGUGUUACGUACCGAAGAGGAAGAGGAGGUAAUCUGACUAGAGGGGAAACAUGGCAGGAAGAGAAAAGCUGGAGCAUUGCUGUUUUGGGAAUGCUUGGGAAUGCCACCGUAGCGGUCAAAUAACUAGUGAGCUUAGGUGGACAGAAAUGCCACCCUAGUGGUCAAAAUGCCUGCUUUUUGUUUGUAUAUACAUGCUGCAACAGCUGCUGAAAAUGCAUGAUACUAAUAUCAGCUUAACAGGGCAUUAUUAUCCUUUUAAAUUUGUGUUCUAGUGUUCAAAAGUUGCAUUUGUUACCCUGGUGUUGCUCUGUAUUCUGUUGAUUCAAUUUUUCAUGUUGUUCAUUCAUCAAACCAUCAAGAAACUUGCAAGCCUCGGUUGUACCACUGGGACUUCAAGAUGGCUGAGGCAGCAAUAGUUCUCAUCAACUGUUGUUCCUGUUGGACUCCUGAUGGCUGAGGUUGCAAGUUUAUUGAAGAUUUCAUGCCCUCCAUGUGUAAGCUGGAUCUGAGAUAAACAUAACUUUCUUCAAUUUACAUCAACAUGCAAGCUGGAUCUGGCAUCUCGCUUUCCUUGUUUUUUUAGUUUUAUCACUUGCAGGAUAUGCACAAUUAAACACGUUUCCAUCAUAAGUCAACAUAUAUUUAAAAGCAAUAUUUCAACACAUUUCCUACAUUUUCUAUCCAGAUCAACAUAUAUGCAAAAUCAUAACAUAUGAAUUAAACUCAACAUAUAUGUAAAAUCAACACGUUUCUGGCCUAAAGUUUUCUUAUUUAUCAACAGAGGUUACCGUCGUUGUCGUCAUCCUUGCUCUCUGGAUCUACCCUAAAAUAAGCACAUUAGGGAACACCGUGGUAAAACGACACAUUACUAUUGCUGAUUCACAGAGCAAUACCCCCGUAAAAAGAUACUAUACUUAAAUAAAUGCAACAUACGGUAUAGGGAAACACUAUACAUUUUAAUUAUGAACACCACUAGUCUGCUUUGGCUGCCACAAAGCUGGUCCGUUUUGGCUCGUGCGGAGUUGGUCCGUUUUGGCAUCAUAUAUAGUAGCUGCUAGAAGUCCGGCUUCUGUUUCGAAGUGUCACACUUUUUAACUAACUGUAGCUUUUUGUAUGUAUGUAGCUGUCUCAUGACUAGUGUCGUAGUUUAUACAAUUAACUGUACCUUUUUGCAUUGUAGUUUCUUAUUUGUAUUUGUAGUCCUGCUGUAGUCUCUUAACGUUAUUUUCACAUUUGUAAUAUUCUCCAUAACAUUGCUAAUACCAUAGUCCAACCCUGAUUCAUGGACAUAGGUUAUCUUUGAAGUAUCGCUAAUCAUUAAACAAGGAAGCAUGAAAGCACGUUAUAUGAAUAAUAAAAAUCACAUUACAAAUAAAUACAAAGUCACUACCACAAAACUGAAUACCCUUGAGGGUCAAAAACCCUCAAGGAAACCCCUAAAACCGCCAAAGAAAUCAAUAUUGGCGGCUAGCACUCAAGGAAUAGUCGCCAAGGGUAGAGAGACAAGGUGCCGGCCGCCACAAAUCAAUUUCUUGAGGGUUAAACCAUCGAGAAAAUAAAUCAGUGGUCAGAUUUUUAACAUCGUCAAGAAAAUAUAACGACACCCAAGGAUAUAGGUUUCCUUGAGUGCCAAUGACACUCAAGAAAAUGUAAAAACACCCAAGGAUAUAGGUUUCCUUGAGUGCCGAUGGCACCCAAGAAAAUGUAAAAACACCCAAGGAUAAAUAUUUUCUUGAGUGCCGAUGACCCUCAAGGAUAUGCAUGGAAAAAAAAGAGAAACAAUCUCAUAUUUGUUGUAGCUGAGAAUCGAACUCAUGACCUGAUGUUCCAUGUGAAACUAACUUACCACUACACCACAAAGUCUUUUGUGACUAAGUGAAUGUUUCUUUCUUUUUGUUUUCACUUUAGUGGAUCUUGUAAUGAAUAUUUGAGAACCUAAAUGAUUUCAAAUGAAAAAAGUUUGAAUUAUAAAGUUUUAUAUCUCAUCGAGUACUAUAACUUUGGUUUAGGUUGUAUCUCUAUCUGAGGUCAUUUGAAUAUUCAAAAAAUUUAAAGUUUAAAGUUCUAAUAAUUUAAAACAUAUUUUAUGGACCUCAAAUAAUUUCAAAUGAAAAUUUCAUCAACUAAGAAGUUGUAUAUCUCUUUGGGCUCUAUAACUUUGAUAUAAACUUUGCCUCCAUACGAUAUUAUGUUACAUUUUAGCUUUAAAAUAAGCAAGCAUCUCAAGCUAAGUGCUAGUAUAUGCAUUCUCUAAUGCAUAACAACACAAAAUUAUAACUUUUAUUGGAUUAAUUUACUAACAAAAAUUAUAUAUCAUUUUCCAAACAUGUCAAUGGAGCGUUUAUGUCUAUAAAAUGCAAUGUCUAACUAACAAGAAUGCAAUGAGUUCACUAUAUCGAUGGUUAAGAGAAAUAUGACCAUAAACUGUUUUUUCCUUGGCAGCUAUAAUAAUUUACUUGAGGGUUUACACCCAAAGAAACUAGAACUUCCUUGGCGGUUUCUAGUUACACCCAAGGAAAUGUGAAUUACCUUUGGUGGUUUAUAAUAACACUCAAGGAAACAUAGAAUUACCUUGGCGGUUUCAACUAGCACUCAAGGAAAUAUAGAUUUAACUUGGCGGUUUGGUUUAGUACUCAAGAAUAUGCAUUUUCUUGGGGGUUUUAUACAACCCUCAAGGUAAUUGUAUAUCCUUGGGGGUUUAAUUUCGCCCCUCAAGGAAAUUGCUGGCCCUCAAGGAUACUCAGUUUUCUGGUAGUGAGUAUCGAUCAGUACAAUGAAAUUAUAGUACCAUCAAAUCACAUUACACUAGUACAGAGAGAUACUAUACUGGCGGUUCGCAACCCCUUUGUACAGGCGGAUUGACGAACCGCCAGUAGCUAUAGGCCUGUGGAAAUAAAAGUUUCCACAGACGGUUAACUGAUAACCGCCUGUAGAAACCGAUUUCUACAGGCGGUUCAGUUAUGAGAUCCGCCUGUGGAAAUCAGUUUCUACAGGCGGUUCUUUUAUGUAAGAAAUUGGAUUCUACAGGCGGUUCUCAUAACAGAACCGCCUGUGGUAAGAUUUUCCAAAACCCUAUUUUUACACAACAAGAAAUAAGGCUUUACAUGACGAUUUACUGGUGACGUUCUAAGAAAGCAUCAUAGAAUUGUAUUGUCUGUGACGGUUUAUUCUUGAGGUAAUAUAUCUAUGAUGACUGGUUAAAUUAUCGUCAUGGUUGAACGUCAUAGAUCAUUUUGGCACCUUUGUGGUAAACCUAAACCGUAAAGUUAUAGCUAAUGUUUAAAGUUAAAUGAAUUAUAACAUCUUAGGUGUUAGACAGUCAUUAACACAAAUCAUUGAUGCAUCAACAAAACUAAGAAAUAUAUUGCAUAGAUAGAAACGGAAGUCCUACUUUCCCCGGACUCUAGAAAGCCAAGGAAUUAAAAAAAAAUCAUAAAUAGAAACAAAAAAUAUAGUUGCAUAAAAAGAAAAAUAAAAACAAAAAAGAAGAAGAAAAGAACACGCCACAUAAAUAUAGAAGAAAAAAAUAAAAACCGAGAGAGAGGAGACUGGUUAUAAACAAGUCCUACUUUCCCAUCCCCAUCGUUCUCUCGCAGUCACCUGAGGGCCGACUCCCUUCGUAGUCUUUCUCUCUGUCUCUCUCGAUCUCCCUCACAGCGCCGUCCUCCCUACUCCUCCGCCCAGAAGCCUCCGCAUCCGGCGGCCACCCCUUCCUGCUCCUCCUCCAUAGGCCACCACCUUCACAUCUGGCGCCCUCCCCGCCGGAUGUUGCCCCUUGGCGCUCCUCCCCUUCUCUCUGGCGCCCCCCUCUCUCAGCCCGGUGUCCAGAUCUACUGGUCCGAGCACAAUCGCAUCAGGAAGUGGCAGCUCCGAGCACAGUUUAAUUUGAGUGUCCGAGAUGAGCCCGUAUUCCGGCCGCCAAAGUCUUGGUCAGGCCCUCUGCAGGCGACGAGCAGCCACAACAACGGCCACGUAUGCUUGUUUCUUCUCUUCCCUUCCUUUUGUGCAAAAUUGAGGAUCCCUAAUUUAGGCUAUUUGGUUAUACAUAUUCGAAACUGAUCUGAUAUAAUCCCAAGUGUAUGCAUGUAUGCUGCAGGAUGUGGGUUUAAUUUCUUUAAUAUGACUAUUACUGUUUUUACCAGAGCAAUACAUGUUGAAAAAUUUGUACUAUCAUACUUUCAGUAUCUAUAGAGACCUUUCUUAUAGGUGAAAUUAAUUAGGCAUGUGUAUCUACUGUCAGAUAAAAUAUGUUGCUACGCAGGUUUCAGUAUCUGUAGAGAUCUUUUGUAACACUGAAGUUACUAAUGUAUGCCUUAUUAAGUAUUAUCAUGGCAGAUGAUUGACCUUAAAUUAAAACCCACUUGCUUUACCUUGCAGAUGUGUGACCUUAAAUUUAGUAGUAUUCAGAACUUAGUAACCCACUUGUCGAAUGCAGAAAUAUGGUUGAAAUGGUUUGCCACUUGUUGAACUUAGUAACCCACUUAGGGCCUGUUUGGUUAUCAGGGAUUGGACACUGGGAACAAUUCCAACUUGAAAUGUUGUGCUAAUUUGUACUAACUUUGCUCACAGGAAAUGAUUCUGGGAGGAAUUAUGCCUAAGCGAAUGAUAUUAACCCUUUGGGCAGUAAUUGUUUACAGAUUUUAAAAUACAUCUCUGAGAGGAGUAGGAAAGAGCAAUGAUGGCAGGAAGAGGGUAGAUAUCCACAGGAUGCGGCAGUACAGGUUGCAGCUCGAAUAGAAACUUGGUGAUAUCUUGGUCAUAUUACUUUACAUGAGCGACACUGAACCAUCAUAUCCACUAUUUAAAUAUGAAAAUUAUUUGCAAAGUACUAGUUAUGCAAAGCCCACUUUGGCAUGGAGGAGAAAAUGUUUCUAGAUGUUUUAGGCAAUUGAAUUCCCCUACUACAGAGUGCUAGAGCACUGAACAAUAGGUACUGAAUAUUAAUUAUUAUUCAAAGUAAAAUAUAUGGAUGCAAUGUGCUGAAAUAGAUGUCCUGCACUGAUAAAGAUUUAGUGGUGAUUCACUAAAUGCUGUUAUGGAAGUAUUAAAUAUAAAUGACUUGUUGUGCAGCGUGCAUUUGUACAUAUAUUUGGAAAUAGAUUGCAAGAUUGUCGUUGUGCUUCAUGAUUUCUAAUUCUUGCUAUUGAUUCUGUUUUUCUUAAACCUCAAUCAUUCAGAUAUGCAAGCAAGUGGCAGCACUGUUUUCAAACUUUAAGGUAUGAACAAAUUCAAGUGGACUAUGUGGCAGCAUUGCUCUUAGGCUCUAAAGGCAUGCACUGCUCAGUUUUGGGUGAGUAUUAAGUAUUAGUCCUGCACUUCUUUGGCAGAUUGUCUCUAUGUAGUUGAAGGCUUACAAUUUUGUUGGCUCGUAGUUGCACGGUCUAGGAUCCAAUGCUCAUGUUUCUCCACACAUAUGAGUCUUAACUGGCCAAAAGAUUUACAUUUUUUCAAAGAUAGUACCUUUGCACAUGUGAGUUUUAUUACUGAUCAAGUAUUCUCUGCAGAUGUUUUAUGAGGCUAUCUAUGGAUUGCGGCAAAAGGAUCAAGGCGCUCAUGGUGGCUAUUUUCAUUAGUCGUGAAAGAUUUUGUUGUGCGAGCAAAACAUCUGGGUUGUUGUUGUACAAGCCAACGUCUUAGUUUUCUAGAUACUUGAGUGUAGCUUGGUUAUUGCCUUAGUAUUUCGUGUGAAAUAUUGUACAAGUACAAAUGUUGAUGGUUUUAAUGAAAAUGAUGAGCAAUAUUUGUCAAUUGUGAGUUUUGUUCCAGUUUAUGUGUGUUUCAUGAGUGUUUCAGCAAAACCAUGACAGUUCAGUUCAUCACCAUAGUCUCUUCCUAUAGUUGCCCUCUGGUUCGUCCAUGACGAUCCAAAAAAUCACCCCGUGACGUUCUAUUUUGGUCUAAAAAAUGUAUCACGAGGAAUAGAUGACGUUCCUAUGAACCGUCAUAGAUAGUUAAUUGUGACGGAUUUUUGCUUGUCUGUGACAGAAUCAAACCGUCAUGUAUAAGUUAAUUUCUUGUAGUGUUAAUAUUAUAUAUAUAUAUAUAUAUUAUAUACAUUAAUAUUGAAACUAUGUUAGGCUACAAGAUUCAACCAAUGCAACAUGCAAUAUAUUUAUAUAUACCAUUACUUUGUACAUAAAAUUAUAUUAAUUACAAACAUCACACAUCAAAGUUUUUUGUUUACAGACAUAUGAGGUUUCACAUCUGAAACCUCUGCUCUAAUAACCCGAUCGAGAUAGCUUUAGCCUACUAAUAUCUCUUAGCGCUCUAAACUCAGGCUUUGCUAGGAUGCUGGUCGGGUCGUGAUAUUUCCCUUCGGUGGGAAUGGCUUCUCUCAAGAGAAAAGUGCAGAGGUCCUCAACUAUGUUAUAUAGAACAGCUUGAGUCACGCUCUUCGCCUUUUCCAACUCAUGUUGCUGCAGAGGAAGUUAGAAACAUCAUAAAUUUAUAGUUCAUAUAACACAUGCUUAGCAACAAAAAAUGACACAAAUAAUAUAAACGACUAUUAGAGCAAUACCUUAGAAGGGUUAGUUACAUAUCUUCCGGUCUCUCUCAUGAACUCGCAGACGUAGAAUCCAUAGUGGACCGAUCCGACUGGUUGCUUAUGGCACUGAUGUAUGACAAAAAAGUGGAUACUUAUUAGUUGCAACAUCGUCAUAUGCAUAUUAUAUUUAUAAAAGACAGCUUGUGAUAUUUUGGUACAUACCGGCCAUUUAUAAAAUAAUCUCAAUGGCUGCCCCGGUUCUGAUUAAUCACACCUUCCACCUUUGAUCUUAUAAUACCUAUAGGCCCUAUAGUAUCGAAUACACAAUCCUCAAGUUAUUCUGAAACUCUUAUAAAAGUAGGUAUGGAUAUUUAAUGUACUCAGCUUACCGUUCCAAGUGUGUAAUGAAUUUUGCAUAACUUGAAGGAUCAUAGUCUGCAGAGUCUAGGACUAGCACACGUCCUAGACUAGGAUUAAUGAGGAGGCAGAUCCAGUGGUCCCUGAGAGAAUCGAAUUUAUGAUGCAAGGUGCAUGAUUUAUUGAUACAAAUCCCAUCACCUUUUUUUGCGUGGGGAAUUGUUUUAGAAUAGUUAGGCAAAUUUCUGAUCAUAGGCUAAUUUAUUUGAUUUGUAUAGGUCCUCUGAGACUUAUCACUAAUAGGUUGUUUCUCUUUGUUGGAUAUGUCACUUUUACCAUUAUGAUGUAACUUCGCAAUGUGGCAUGUCGCACUUUUGGCCAUGGAUUUGGCUAGAAAAUGCAUUGGAUAGGGUAGCAAGAAGAUGGAUCAAAAAAAUUACUAUACUCUACAUGUAACUCUUAGAUGACUUGGACGAACUACACAUGAUAAAUCUGGCCUGAUAGGUUUCGGCUUGACUGGCUACAUCUAUGAGAUCUCUUAAAAGCAAGGAAACUAAUGGGAUAAGAGGGAAAAGUACUCUGUCGACUGCUUAGAUAUCUCAAAAGUAAUCAUUGGGAAACAUGUCCUUAACUUGCAAAAUAUAUGGAAACAUUUUGGUAAAUUACCUUUUGAAAAUGCACUCGAGAGUAUGGAAACUAGUGGGAUAAGGGGAAAAGUACCCCGUCAACUAAUUAGAUCUGUCAAAAGUAAUCAUUGAGGAACAAUGUCCUUAACUUGCUAGAUGUUAGGCAAUAUUUCAAUAACUCCUAGAGGGAAAAGUACUCCAUCGGCUACUUAGAUAUCUCAAAAGUAAGACCGAAUAUCCCAACACUUGGAUCCAAGUGCCCGAGUCUCUGGUUGAGUCCUUUUAUUACUUAGCUUGGUUCCGUGGACUAAUUAGAUCUCUAAUCAUUAAGGAACAAUGUCCCUAAGUUGCUAGACGUUAGGCAAGAUUUCAAUAACUCCUAGAGGGAAAAGUACUACAUCGACUACUUAGAUAUCUCAAAAGUAAUCAUUGGGGAACAAUGUCGUAAACUUGCUAAAUAUAGGGCAACAUUUUAAUAAUUCCCUUUAGAAAUGCAUUGGACAGGGUAGCAAGAAGAUGGAUCAAAAAAAUUACUAUACUCUACAUGUAACUCUUAGAUGACUUGGAUAAAUUACACAUGAUUAAUCUGGCCUGAUAGGUUCGGGCCUGACUGGCUACAUCUAUGAGAUCUCUUAAAAGCAAGGAAACUAAUGGGAUAAGAGGGAAAAGUACUCUGUCAAAUGCUUAGAUAUCUCAAAAGUAAUGAUUGGGAAACAUGUCCUUAACUUGCUAAAUAUAUGGAAACAUUUCAGUAAAUUACCUUUUGAAAAUGUACUCGAGAGUACGAAAACUAGUGGGAUAAGGGGAAAAGUACUCCGUCAACUAAUUAGAUCUCUCAAAAGUAAUCAUUGAGGAACAAUGUCCUUAACUUGCAAGAUGUUAGGCAAUAUUUCAAUAACUCCCAGAGGGAAAAGUACUCCAUCGGCUACUUAGAUAUCUCAAAAGUAAGACCGAAUAUCCCAGCACUUGGAUCUAACUUCCCGAGUCUCUAGUUGAGUCCUUUUAUUUCUUAGCUUGGUUCCGUCGACUAAUUAUAUCUCUCAAAAGUAAUCAUUGAGGAACAAUGUCCCUAAGUUGCUAGAUGUUAGGCAAGAUUUCAAUAGCUACCAGAGGGAAAUGUACUCUAUCGGCUACUUAGAUAUCUCAAAAGUAAUCAUUGGGGAACAAUGUCGUAAACUUGCUAAAUAUAGGGCAACAUUUUAAUAAUUCCCUUUAGAAAAUGCAUUGGACAGGGUAGCAAGAAGAUGGAUCAAAAAAAUUACUAUCCUCUACAUGUAACGCUUAGAUGACUUCGAUGAACUACACAUGAUAAAUCUGACCUGAUAGGUUUGGGCCUCACUGGCUACAUCUAUGAGAUCUCUUAAAAGCAAGGAAACUAAUGGGAUAAGAGGGAAAAGUACUCUGUCAAAUGCUUAGAUAUCUCAAAAGUAAUCAUUGGGAAACAUGUACUUAACUUGCUAAAUAUAUGGAAACAUUUCAGUAAAUUACCUUUUGAAAAUGUACUCGACAGUACGAAAACUAGUGGGAUAAGGGGAAAAGUACUCCGUCAACUAAUUAGAUCUCUCCAAAGUAAUCAUUGAAGAACAAUGUCCUUAACUUGCUAGAUGUUAGGCAAUAUUUCAAUAACACCCAGAGGGAAAAGUACUCCAUCGGCUACUUACAUAUCUCAAAAGUAAGACCGAAUAUCCCAGCACUUGGAUCUAACUUCCCGAGUCUCUAGUUGAGUACUUUUAUUUCUUAGCUUGGUUCCGUCGAUUAAUUAGAUCUCUCAAAAGUUAUCAUUGAGGAACAAUGUCCCUAAGUUGCUAGACGUUAGGCAAGAUUUCAAUAGCUACCGGAGGGAAAGGUACUCUAUCAGCUACUUAGAUAUCUCAAAAGUAAUCAUUGGGGAACAAUGUUGUAAACUUGCUAAAUAUAGGGCAACAUUUUAAUAAUUCCCUUUAGAAAAUGCAUUGGACAGGGUAGCAAGAAGAUGGAUCAAAAAAAUUACUAUCCUCUACAUGUGACUCUUAGAUGACUUGGAUGAACUACAUAUGAUAAAUCUGGCCUGGUUUGGGCUUGACAGGCUACAUCUAUGAGAUCUCUUAAAAGCAAGGAGACUAAUGGGAUAAGAGGGAAAAGUACUUUGUCGACUGCUUAGAUAUCUCAAAAGUAAUCAUUGGGAAUCAUGUCCUUAACUUGCUAAAUAUAUGGAAAUAUUUCAAUAAAUUACCUUUUGAAAAUGCACUCGAGAGUAUGGAAACUAGUGGGAUAAGGGGAAAAGUACUCCGUCGACUAAUUAGAUCUCUCAAAAGUAAUCAUUGAGGAACAAUGUCCUUAAGUGUCUAGAUGUUAGGCAACAUUUCAAAAACUCCUAGAGGGAAAGUACUCCAUCGGCUACUUAGAUUUCUGAAAAGUAAUCAUUGGGGAAUAAUGUCUAUAAAAUGCAAUUGGCCCACGUGGAAGCUUGCCACCUCCACACACAAGCACAUACAUAAUGUAAUAUUUUUAUUGGAAACAAACUAUUUGGCAAGUAAUAUUUAGCAAGUUUAGGACAUUGUUCCCCAAUGAUUACUUUUGAGAUAUCUAAGUAGCCGAUGGAGUAGGUUUCCCCCUAGGAGUUAUUGAAAUGUUGCCGAACAUCUAGCAACUUGAGGACAUUGUUCCUCAAUGAUUACUUUUGAGAGAUCUAAUUAGUUCAUCAACUUGCUAAUUAGGCCAGAUUUAUCAUGUGUAGUCAAGCCCUAAACCUAUCAGGCCAGAUUUAUCAACUUGCAAGUUUUGAGAGAUCUAGCAAGUCAAGCCCAAACCUAUCAGGCCAGAUUUAUCAUGUGUAGUUCGUCAAAGUCAUCUAAGAGUUACAUGUAGAGUAUAGUAAUUUUUUUGAUCCACCUUCUUGCUACCCUAUCCAAUGCAUUUUCUAAAGGGAAUUAUUAAAAUGUUGCCCUAUAUUUAGCAAGUUUACGACAUUGUUCCCCGUCCAAUGCAUUUUCAAAAGGGAAUUAAUGAAAUGUUGCCCUAUAUUUAGCAAGUUUAGGACAUUGUUCCCAAAUGAUUACUUUUGAGAUAUCUAAGUAGUCAACAGAGUACUAUUCCCCUUAUCCCACUAGUUUCUUGAGGACUUUACAACUUUUAAAGCAAUCACUAAUGAACUCAUGUAGAUACUCGAAGAGCAUACCACUCGUCUCCAGAUUACGUACAUUGGAUAGCAGCGCCUCCUUCGGCACUCUAGAAUCAAUCUCCACUUCAAUUCUUUAUCAACCGAAUUCGAUGAAAACCAAUCACAUUUGAUGAAAGGGAAUCGAAUUCGGUAAUCUUUAUGGAAUUGGAUUUUCCUUCCUUGGAAAUCGAAUUUGGUUUAUGUCAACUAAAUUCGAUGAACGAUAAUCAAAUUCGAUGAUAGUGAAUCGAAUGCGGUACAGUUCUUCGAAUUCGAUGUUAUGGCUUUCAAAAAAAGAAAUAUACCCAAACAUUGCCAAAUCCAUGGUCAAAAGUGCGACAUGCCACAUUGCGAAGUUAUGUCAUUAAUGGUAAAAGAGACAUAUCCAACAAAGAGAAACAACCUAUUAGUGGAGGAGAGAGGAGAAAUCAUUAUCAGAGGUAGCCAUCAAAGUUAGGGUUUAGAGCUUUUCUCCCACAGAGAAUUAGAAUUAGCUACUCCCUAAUCCUUCAAGUUUAGAGGAUUGAUUAGAUAGAAUUAGAGAAGUAGAACACUACGCUCUGGAUUCGGAUCUUUGUUAAUAAAGAUUGGUAUUAUUUCAUAUCUUUCUCUAAUACUUUGUUCUAAUUGCAAUAUGUCUCUAUUUAUUAUGUUCUUAGUUUGCUCUAGUUCUAUAUUUGAUAUAGUUAUGAUUGAUAAUGAGUUUAUGUAUAAGUUUGCAAAGCGCUUAGCUCUUGACACGUGGGAGUUAAGUGGUAGAUCACAUGUGGGCGUGGUGCUUAGAUGUUAUUUACCUGCAAAUGUAUCCUAUUGGCCGGGUUGUGUGGUAGUUCGCGGUAGUGACAGCUUCGUUGAUUUUUAUAUAGUCCACCCUCCAUUGAUAGGACGGGCAGAAUUUGUAUUGCGGAGUGAGUCUUGCGAUGCUCUGAUUUACUUUAGCAAUGUUCCUUAUACAUGAAUGAAGAGUCUUUUAUACUAUAUAUGAUCUUGUAGAUAACUAGAGUAGAUUGUGACUUAGUAGAUAGUAGAUAACUUAGAAUCCAUUCUCUAGCUAAUCCGACGUCACCUUAUAUAUAUGAGGAGUAGUCUAUUUUCUAAUCGCUGUGUUAUUUACCCAUGAGCUUAUAUUUCAUUAUCAUUAGUAUUAUGGAUUACCCCUUGUCAAAGUAAGUGACUGUGUGACGAGUUCCUCAUUAGUAAUUAUGUUCUUGCAAGUUUAUCUCUAGUCUAUGCCUUGAUAGAUUUUAUCCUUAUUUUAAUUUCACCCUUGUCCUCCUAAGCAAAAUUAUAAAUAACGAUACCUAGAAUACUUUUCCUGGUGAAAUGCUACAAUGAGGUGUUUUAUCUGUUCGCUUGCGGAUAGAAUAGAUUAUUUUCUAGAGAGCCUUUACAUUCAUAAAUACCUUUAUACACUCUGGCACCAUGCUGGGGAUGACAACCUAGUAUUCAAGUGGUGUUAGCUAGUGUCAACAAGCAUUUCUGGCACCGUUGCCGGGGAACAAAAGGGAAACACAUAGGAACGGUAAGGAAAGUCAGGAAAUCAGUCGAGGUUAUUCACAUAAAAUAUUAGACUAGACUAUGGAGAAAUAAUUGCAUAAAAGCUACUAAGUGAGAAAUCAUAACAAGGCACCUCUGCUUUGGCAGGUUCACCCUGUUGUUUUUCUAUGUUUAUAUUUUUAUACAGGGUAUAUCAGGAUUGACUUUGGGUACGUUCAACUCUUCAUCAUCAGAACCAAAGCAAUCAAGAAAGGAAGAAGAAGCUAGCUACCAAUUGCUGAAGCUAUGGCACAAAAGACUUUGCAAGAAUUCUCUGCUCCAAGUCUUGAGAACAUUCCAACUGGUCCAAGAUUUGCAGUAGAAGAAGGAGCACCCGAGUUCGAGCUCAAGUCAAGCCUCAUCAAUUUGGUACAAGCUACACAAUUCAGUGGAAAGGCACAUGAAGAUGCUAGUGCACACUUGCAGAAUUUCUUAGAGAUUGGAAGCACAAUCCACAUCAACGGAGCUGACAAAGACGUCAUACUACUUCGCCUUUUUCCAUUCUCACUAGAAGGGAAGGCGAGGAAGUGGUUUUACACUCAUCAAGAUAACAUCAACAACUGGACGAACUUGUCAGAUGCCUUUCUAUCAAAGUUUUUCCCUAUAGGCAAAACAACUGCCUUAAGAGGAAAUACUGUCAGUUUCCAACAGCAGAAGACAGAAACCAUUCCAGAAGCAUGGGAGCGUUUUCAAGGAUACAUAUCAGAUUGUCCUCACCAUGGAAUGGCCACAUGGUUACUUAUGUAGACCUUCUACCAUGGAUUAACCCAGAAGGCUCGUGAGUGCCUAGAUGCAUCUGCUAAGGGAUCAUUCUUGGAGCUUACAAUUUGAAAAGCAGAGAUACUUUUGGAUAAGAUAGCAGAAAACCAAAGCUGGUUCCAAGAUGAAGCUCAACAAUGUCAUCAAACUGAAGAAAUACCAGAAGAAGUAAAUGCAUUAUCAACCAAGAUGGAAAAUUUGCUCCAUUGGAUUGACUAGAGGGCCAAGUUUAAAGAAGAUCAAAGGGCCAUUGAGACAGCAUACAAAUAUCAACCUACUUCGAGUCAACCCAAUAGCAAAGGUAUGAAUUCAGGUAAUACUUUCAAGCAACUUUCAUUGAAAGAGAUAAUAGCUCAAGAAACUAAAACUAAUGAUGAAGUUAAACAAAGGCUAGACACAAAUGAAUCAUCUCUAAAAGAUAUACAUAAUAAAAUGGAUUUUCUAUUAACUGCCUUUGAUGAGCAAAACACUCUUAAUAAAAGGGUAGAGCUUAAAUUAAUAAAGCUAGCUGCUUCAUUGCCUGUUGCCACUAACAUUGAGCAGGUAAAGAACAUAACUACUAGAGGAGGCAAGGCCACCAGGGAUCCCCCGUACUCAAAAGAGAAACAAAGAACAUCAGCACCAGUGUAACCAGCAGUGAUAGAAGAAGAAAGCCUAGUUGAAGCAGAAGAUCUGCUACAAACAACAAGAACUCGAGAAAUGAGGAAAGAUUUUUACGACACCAACUAUUUUCCAUUUCCCAGAAGAAACAGAGGACUGCAGUCGGAUGAGCAGUUUGGUAAGUUUGUAGAGGUCAUUCAGAAAUUAUAUGUCAACAUACCUCUGCUUGAUGCCAUACAGGUACCUACAUAUGCAAAGUACAUCAGAGAUAUUCUUAACAAGAAGAGACCACUGCCCACCACUGAGGUUAUCAAGCUGACAGAAGAAUGUAGUGCGGCCAUCCUCAAUAAACCACCAAGGAAGAAGAAGGAUCCCGGAUGUCCCACUAUUGAUUGCUCGAUCGGAAACCAACACUUUAACAAUGCACUUUGUGAUCUCGAAGCAAGUGUCAGUGUGAUGCCAGCAUCAGUCUACGAGAAGCUUGAGCAUACGACCCUAGAACCAACAUCAAUGUGCCUGCAAUUAGCAGAUUAAUCAGUUCGACACCCGUUGGGCAUCGCCGAAAACAUUCCAGUCAAGAUAAGAAAUUUCCUUGUGCUAGUAGACUUCAUGGUACUGGACAUGAGUCCUGACUUAAAAGUGUCCCUCAUCCUUGGAAGGCCAUUUCUGAGCACUGCCAAUGCCCACAUUGAUGUCGGGAAGGGAGAAAUCAACUUCAACAUAAACGGACAAGAAGAACACUUCACAUUCAAGCCCAGACUAGAGAGAGACUCUAUAGUGAAGGAAGUUCAUGAAGAAGAACCACUGGAGACACCAUCUCCGGAGGAAGGUAAUUCAGAAGAUUAAAAGAUUUGGAGGUCCAGCUUGGUGGACCUAAAAAAUCCCAAAACCUCGCCGGGAGGUAAAUCGAUAUUUAUCCGCAUCAUUAAUUCUUGCAUAAUUAAUUCUUGCAUUAUUCAUAUUUAUUCAUAGCAUUACUAUAAUAAUGAAAAGCCCCAUAUAAAUAAUAUUUAUGGUGUGUAACAACCCAUAUUUAUUAAUUAUUGUGGAGGCACAAAAAUAUUUUCCAUUAUCAUUUCAAUAAGUUUCAAUUCUCAUAGAUUUUCCUGCAUUAUAUUUAUAGCAACCUUCUAGAAGCAUGACCCACACUCCUUGGGUCCCACAUGUCAUACACCACACCUCACACACAUCCCAUCGCAUUAUUUAAUCCACCAACAUAACUCCACUCACCAGCACUUUUCCAUCGACCAACCACCACCCAUGAACUAUUAUUCUGCGUAAGAGUUAAGCAAAGGAGGGAGUGGAGAAAAGGCAGCCAAGAUGGCCACCAAAGGUGGGUGGCCGCCCACCUACAGAGGGCGCCUGCCCUGUCCCCCCUUCCUCCUAUAAAUUGCCACCUCCUGCCUCCAUCUCCAUCACACAAGCCUCCCAGAAAGCCACGCAAGAUUCAGUUUCCAGAGAAGGAGCUCUUGUAGUGAAGUGAGAAGAGAGUAGAGAGGAAGAGAAGAGUAGAAGAGAGGUUGGUAGUCUUUGAGUGAGAGAGUGAGGUUUACCUAGUAAGUAGUGAUCCUGCUGUCCAAAGCGGAAGUAAAAAUUGUUUAGGGGGAGGUGCUGCCAAAAUAAAAACUUGUCUUGAACGACUAACCCCUAGACUACUGACAUUUCGGACAGCUAACCACUAACAUUUUUUCUCACAUUUUCCACUAGUUGUGUUUGUGUCAACUUUUGUUUGCAGGAUGUUCAAGAAGGUGAAGAGCGCUGGGAAGGCCCUCAAGAACAUAGGUACAAGGAGUUCAUCCCGACACUCCUCACACCCGUCAGAGAUGAGUGUCGACCCCACACCCCCGCAAGCUCCAUCAUCUUCGUCUGAUCCACAAGUCAAGGUCCUCCUCAAGAUAGGAGAACUUGGACUGAAGACCCGCAGGGAAAAGGGAGUUUACUAGCAGCUAAAGAAUAAGGAUUUCAUUCACACCCCCACUCUUGAUCCUAUCUUGCUACAAGAGACAUGUAUGGAUACUGAAUUCGAUUUGAUUUUCCAGAUGGUGGGAUGGACAAAUUUUUGGAACAUAACUGAGCUGGGUUCCCGUCUUCUCACCCUUGAAUUUCUUUGCACUUUACAUUAUUAUGAGGGGGGAAUUGCUUUUCGGAUGUUCAAACAGGACAUUAUGUUGUCUUGAAGAGAACUGAGCGACCAUCUCGGUUUCUCUUCAAGAUGCAUCCUGAACAUUGACUCCGACUUACCCAAUUUUGAGAGACACCAGUUCUGAAGAGAGAUAUCUAGAGAUGAGUUUUAUAGUCAAGCCCGAACAAGUGACAAGGAACACCCCACUCUUAGGAUGUUCCACAAAUGGCUUGGGUACAAUCUUUUCCAUCGUGAUGAUAUUAGAAAAGUAAGAGUAGAAGAUUUACAACUUCUAUAUGCUGCUAUAAAUAAAACCCACUUCACCUGUUACACUUUUGGUUUCUCAUUGGCUUAGUAUACCUAGUCUUCAGGGACCAGUAGGGUGUACUUCACUUAUCACUCGUCUAGCCUCUAAUUUUCAUUUGCUAGAAAACUCAUCAUUGGAAUUCAUAGAUGAGUUACAAAUUUAUCAUGGCUAUGACACAUUUAGGCAAGCUCAGAUGUUGAAAAAAGAGGGGAACAUAAUGUAUAUGUUAUACGAUAACAAAGGCAAGAUUCGGUUACCUAACCCGAACCUUGGCCUCUAUGUUGUUCAAAUUUUUUUUAUUGAGAUUGCAGUGACACCGGUAAACCAGAGAGCUCCACAACGAGUGGCAUCUGAAAGGAUGACCACCCAUCGAGAACGCACUUGGUAUGGAGCUGAUCCCAGGCCGGAAGAAGCAGUGCACCUACAUUAUUGUGACUACAACCCCCGAGUCCUUUGGGACCCAUGGGUUCGACAUGCUCAACCACAAGAGCCAACACAGGAGACAUGGCCGGAGAGCCAAGAUCACCAGUGGACAAACCCACCUUUCCGUACGGGCAGGUACUCCACUGAUCCAUAUGGAGCUUCAGGGUCUAGACCUCCGCCCCAAUUCGAUGCAGGACGAUACUCCGACGCCUCUUAUGCUUUCACGAACGACUACUACCAAGAGGCCGGCGCUUUCUUCACCCGUACCGACAACACCCUCCUCGACAUCCAGAAUAUGCAAGCAGAACAUGGAAGACUCCUGGAACAGCAACAAAAAUGGAACUAGGACCACGCCACUGCAGUACAAGAACUGAGACAAGACACCACGACAAUGAAUGACAACAUCACCACCAUGAUGAGGUUCUAGAACAUUGGGUAAGACCGACAACCACAUCUAGCUUGGGGGAGUUUCUCCCCAUUUUAUCAAGUAAGUUUUUAUUUGCUUUUCUUAUUUAUUCUUUUCUACUUUAGUAUUUUACCUUAAAGAGAAAAACUUAGAAAACCCAAUAAAUAUUUUCUUGCAUUAAAUUACUGCAUUUUAUAAACAUAAAAACAAAAUAAAAAGAGUGUGUAGAUAAGUGUGCUUUAUUUUUCCUGCUAAGUUUAAUCUCUAGAAAAAAAUAAAAGACCAAAAAAAUGCAUGAUGGAAAUGAUGAACAGUUGCUCUCUUUGCUUACUUUCAAGUACCUAACUUUCAUAUUAGAGUUCUUCCAGGAAUUAUUAAAACUGAAAAUUACUAUCUUUAGGAAGCAUAAAACUAAAGUCUAAGUAAGAAAAAGGCAUAAUAUAAAGUUUGAGCUACUGUUUAUCUUGUUCCUACUACACUAAGUUCUGGAGAUUUAUUUUGAAAACUUACAAAUCACAUGAUGAGUUCCUAGCAUGACAAAAUUCCUACCAGAGCCAUACUUGCUAUAACAUCCUUUCCUACUUAUAUUCACAUUGAGUUUGAUCGAGCUGUGUAGACCCUUAGGAGCUUUUCAUGUUGUUAAAUUAAGAUAUUCACUUGCACACAUCUACUACACCAUCCACUACCAUUCAUUAAAAUUGCUAAAAAUAUUAUCACUCACUUUCCCAAGUACUGUUAUUCUCUUUCUCCAAAAAGAUUCAAUGCAGAAGAGGCAUGGGUUAUGCAAAAACAUGCGAGGAAAUAAAAAGGGGCAAGUGCCCGAAACCUCGAGAAAGAAAGAAAAAGAGUGAGACGAGAGGUAAAAAUGGUCAAGUGUUCGGAGUAGAAUUAGGGGUACAAAGAUGCCCACUUGAGCGGAAAAAAAUAGACAAGUGUCCGAUAGUAGAAUUUGGGGUGUCUACUACCCACCUUAAAAAAAAGAGAAGAAAAGAGAUAGCCCAUGUUCUCUCAAAGCAAAAAUCAAAGAAGAGGAGAGAUAGCAAUAUGAGGAGCAAUGAGAAGUAAGCUUUAUCAUCACUUAUACAUUUUUACAAUCACUAUCAUUUACUUCACCACACAUGCACAUCUUGAUUUAAUUAUAUGCUGAGUUCCUUUGGAUCCAUGGUGUUGAUAUUUGGUAACGCAAAAAGGAAAUGAUCCGCAAGCGCACGGAUAUCGGUGAGCAUUUCACCCGAGAGGUUUUCCAAAGUAUCGUAUUUAUAUUUUUACCACUGGAAGAAAGGGUGCAUCUGACUAACCAAAUCUAUUGCUACUAUCCCUUUAGGCUACAAAGAAUGUUUCUUGAUGUGAGUGAUGUAUAGAGAAGACUGCAACCGUAGUCUCGUUCUAACCUUGGUAAGGAUGAUCUACUAUUCUAUUGGGGAAGCUUACGGAAUCUAGACACCACAAAGGAUGUUCGACCCGCACCUAUAAACCUACCCGUCCUGCUAACGAGAUGUGGGCUUCAAAGGUAACUCAGAAAUGUCACGUUCCUCGCUACUACCACGGUCCAGCUAGUCAGGGGAUAUCUAUGAGUACUCUAGCCUAAACACAACGUUUACGCUAGCAAUGAUUACUCUAAUACUCAACCGAAAGAGAUUAAAGUAAACUCAUAAACCAAACAACAAUAAAACAAGAACUUACUAGAAUUAGAAGUCGAAUUACUGAAGAAUCCUAGGAGCAAGCCUCGGGUUAGAAGACUUGAUCCCGCAGGUAUAACCUCGGAGUAGACACCGACAGGCCGGGCUUCCUCCGAUCUACACCUCCACUCUAUAUCUCUCAAUCUGGUAGAAACAAGAAGAUCUAAUUCUACUCACAUUGGAUGCUAAGCCUAAAAUAAAUAUUUAUUUAGAGGAGAGGUAUUCCUUCGAGGGCUCCUCUCAACUCUAUGAUGAACUUGUUCUCCUCCAGUUGCCAGGGGGUCUGCUUAUAUAGUCCCCUCCUUUUGUGCCUUUUUGGUUCAACAGGCGAUGUGGUACUAAACUUUCCACCAUAUCUCUUUAAAAUGCACAUAGGCCUUAAUGGACCAAAAUCUGAUUUGGGCCCAAUUAAUCCCGCAGCUCUUUUAUGUGGAGUCCUUCUUUUAUUAAUAUCUCUUGAUUCCGAACUCCAAAUAUAGCAAAUAAUAUAUGCAUUUCGAUCAGCUCGAUGAGAUCUUUGUAAUGGUGUACUCCAUUCUAUGAUUGGAGCUUGUACCAGGGCGGGCGCCCUGCCCCCGGGCCCGUUCGGUCUCCCGUUCGUUCCCGUGGCUUCUGGACUCUUCUAGAUGAUAGAAAAUUACGCGGCACGUUAAUAUCUCUAUGUAAACCCGACCUGUGGGCCUUUUUCCUUAUUUCCUGAUAACCCCCUGCAGAAAUAGACAAACACCAAAACUCGUGGAAUCUUGUUAGAUAAAACUCUAAGUCUAGGUGUUGGUUGCAUUUGGAUCCUUUUCUUUAUUUAUUUGAUGAUUAUAUUUGGUACUUAAGGACCGUCAACAACUCCCCAAAGCUUACCUCUUGCUCGUCCCUGAGCAAGGAUGGUCUCAAGAGUUUCUGCAGUGGUUUUAUGCCUUAAAAGUACACAUGCGUUCA